GCAGGACAAUGAAGCUGACGGUGACCGUAAUUGCUCUUGCCGUUGUUGGCGUAUUGCUGCAAGGAGGCACGGCCGCACCUGCUGGUCAGCUCUCCGGAGCGUCGUCUGAGGAAGCCCAACGCUCGGGCAUUCGCUACGCCGAUGACGCCGUAGCCCGUGUAUCUGUUGCUUGUGUGAACAACCACUGCGUCACGUCACCGUUGAAGAAAUAAGUGAAAGCCUUGAAAAAAAAAAGUAUUCAUGAUUGCAAUGCAACCUUGGCUGCUGCCGUUUGCUUUCGGAAGCUGAAGAUGGUUUUACUGCGGCGCAGCGUGCAAUGAAGUAUUUGGCUGAGCUCUGCUGGUGAGGGUGAAAUAAAUGGAAUUGUAAAUAGUGAA
Molecule: long non-coding RNA, 377 nt
Organism: Rhipicephalus sanguineus (brown dog tick)
Lineage: Eukaryota; Metazoa; Arthropoda; Arachnida; Ixodida; Ixodidae
Exons: 2
Source: RefSeq, a predicted model, not a curated record